This 431-nucleotide ribosomal RNA is filed under the name uncultured bacterium. RNAcentral describes it as "bacterial SSU rRNA". It matches the Rfam family "Bacterial small subunit ribosomal RNA", at positions 30 to 462 of the family's 1533-position model. The record is from RNAcentral.
AUUGAACGCUGGCGGCAUGCCUUACACAUGCAAGUCGAACGGCAGCACGGGGCAACCUGGUGGCGAGUGGCGAACGGGUGAGUAAUGCAUCGGAACGUGCCAUUGAGUGGGGGAUAACGUAGCGAAAGUUGCGCUAAUACCGCAUAUUCUGUGAGCAGGAAAGCAGGGGACCGCAAGGCCUUGCGCUCUUUGAGCGGCCGAUGUCAGAUUAGCUAGUUGGUGAGGUAACGGCUUACCAAGGCGACGAUCUGUAGCGGGUCUGAGAGGAUGAUCCGCCACACUGGAACUGAGACACGGUCCAGACUCCUACGGGAGGCAGCAGUGGGGAAUUUUGGACAAUGGGCGCAAGCCUGAUCCAGCCAUGCCGCGUGAGUGAAGAAGGCCUUCGGUUGGUUAAAGGUACGUCUUUCGGUCCGGGAACGGAAAGUACG